CCUACGGGAGGCUGCAGUGAGGAAUAUUGGUCAAUGGGCGCGAGUCUGAACCAGCCAAGUAGCGUGAAGGAUGACUGCCCUACGGGUUGUAAACUUCUUUUAUAUAGGAAUAAAACGAGGCACGUAUACCUUUUUGUAUGUACUUUAUGAAUAAGGAUCGGCUAACUCCGUGCCAGCAGCCGCGGUAAUACGGAGGAUCCGAGCGUUAUCCGGAUUUAUUGGGUUUAAAGGGAGCGUAGAUGGGUUGUUAAGUCAGUUGUGAAAGUUUGCGGCUCAACCGUAAAAUUGCAGUUGAUACUGGCAGCCUUGAGUACAGUAGAGGUAGGCGGAAUUCGUGGUGUAGCGGUGAAAUGCUUAGAUAUCACGAAGAACUCCGAUUGCGAAGGCAGCUUACUAAACUGCCACUGACAUUGAUGCUCGAAAGUGUGGGUAUCAAACAGGAUUAGAUACCCUUGUAGUC
Molecule: ribosomal RNA, 460 nt
Filed under: uncultured bacterium
Lineage: Bacteria
Description: partial 16S ribosomal RNA
Rfam family: Bacterial small subunit ribosomal RNA
Source: RNAcentral